GAUGAAGAACGCAGCAAAAUGCGAUACGUAAUGUGAAUUGCAGAAUUCAGUGAAUCAUCGAGUCUUUGAACGCACAUUGCGCCCCCUGGUAUUCCGGGGGGCAUGCCUGUCCGAGCGUCAUUGCUGCCCUCAAGCACGGCUUGUGUGUUGGGCCUCCGUCCUCCUCCCGGGGGACGGGCCCGAAAGGCAGCGGCGGCACCGCGUCCGGUCCUCGAGCGUAUGGGGCUUCGUCACCCGCUCUUGUAGGCCCGGCCGGCGCUUGCCGACACAUCAAUCUUUUUUCCAGGUUGACCUCGGAUCAGGUAGGGAUACCCGCUGAACUUAAGCAUAUCAAUAAGCGGAGG
Molecule: unclassified non-coding RNA, 344 nt
Filed under: soil metagenome
Description: partial contains 5.8S ribosomal RNA, internal transcribed spacer 2, and large subunit ribosomal RNA
Rfam family: 5.8S ribosomal RNA (bases 1-120)
Source: RNAcentral